This is a long non-coding RNA of Apodemus sylvaticus (European woodmouse), 165 nucleotides long. RefSeq lists it as uncharacterized. NCBI's taxonomy places the organism in Eukaryota, Metazoa, Chordata, Mammalia, Rodentia, Muridae. The transcript is spliced from 3 exons. The record is from RefSeq and is a predicted model, not a curated record.
AGCUGGGGGGCAGAAUAGCCUAGAAAGGGGAAAGGAAAGAAAGCUGUGUCCUUGGCUGCGGCUCCUGAUAACCUGCUGAGUUAAAUCCCCAGAGUACUUGUGAUGAAAGACCUUUGCCUGCCUUUAAGAACCAGACAAGACCUUGGCUGAAUUGCAGGUAGUUUU